GACGAACGCUGGCGGCGUGCUUAACACAUGCAAGUCGAACGAAAAGACGGAAAGAGCUUGCCCUUUUCAGAAUUGAGUGGCAAACGGGUGAGUAACACGUAAACAACCUGCCUUCAGGAUGGGGACAACAGACGGAAACGACUGCUAAUACCAAAUAAGUUCCAAGAGCCGCAUGGCCCAUGGAAGAAAAGGUGGCCUCUACCUGUAAGCUAUCGCCUGAAGAGGGGUUUGCGUCUGAUUAGCUGGUUGGAGGGGUAACGGCCCACCAAGGCGACGAUCAGUAGCCGGUCUGAGAGGAUGAACGGCCACACUGGAACUGAGACACGGUCCAGACUCCUACGGGAGGCAGCAGUGGGGAAUCUUCCGCAAUGGGCAAAAGCCUGACGGAGCAACGCCGCGUGAGUGAUGACGGCCUUCGGGUUGUAAAACUCUGUGAUCCGGGACGAAAAGGCAGAGUGCGAAGAACAAACUGCAUUGACGGUACCGGAAAAGC
This 493-nucleotide ribosomal RNA is filed under the name Dialister invisus. RNAcentral describes it as "bacterial SSU rRNA". It matches the Rfam family "Bacterial small subunit ribosomal RNA", at positions 28 to 487 of the family's 1533-position model. Lineage: Bacteria; Bacillati; Bacillota; Negativicutes; Veillonellales; Veillonellaceae. The record is from RNAcentral.